Molecule: long non-coding RNA, 754 nt
Organism: Xyrauchen texanus (razorback sucker)
Lineage: Eukaryota; Metazoa; Chordata; Actinopteri; Cypriniformes; Catostomidae
Exons: 5
Source: RefSeq, a predicted model, not a curated record
CCUAUCUCGUGUUUCUGUGUUGGUUGCCAGUCUCUGCCUGUGUGUCUGGAUUGCGUUUACCAUACAGCCUGCAUCUUCACUCACCAUUUUCCUCACUGACUCUGCACCUGAGUAUUCCUCACAGAACAAUCUAGCCAGAAUAGAUCCAGCAGAGGAGUCCAGCCUUCGGUCCACUCUCAUUACUUGGACGUCAGCAAGAUCAGAUCUCCGCUUCCAACUGGACCAUGGAGAUGAUGUGUUAGAUGAUGGUGUCACUUUGUUUGUUAUAGCAACUCUGUCAGCCUCCUGAUACCGGUACCUUCACGGAAGCGCCCAUACUGGCCUUGGAAGUUACCCACAGCUUUGGAUGUUCUGAGCCCUGUCUCAACCCUCCAGCUCCAUUCUCAGGUUUUGGCCUCAAAUUCCCCAUCUGUCUCUGCUUGAAGGGGUGUGUAGGCCAAAGAGGCAAUUAUCGAGUCCACUAGAGGUUAAGUGGGACCUGCCAUAAGAUGAAUUGGUGUUCCUCUGCUGUAUUGUCAUGGAGCAAAGGCUGAUUGUUGGAACUGCAACAUGUGGAAACAUGGAACCACACUUUACUCAGGGUACUUCUCUGGCUUAAACAAUGUUUAAAUCACUCAACAAAGUUCCAGCAAGUUCUGUGAACAAUCUAACUUUUUCUGAAAUGGGUGGGGUAGGUUAACUACAGGAUUAAACUGACUGGUCAUUUAAAAUCUGAAGUGCAAUUAUUCUGUUUUAAUUGUUUUUUCAUUGCUGC